RNAcentral lists this ribosomal RNA (1472 nucleotides) under Dehalococcoidia bacterium UBA6803. RNAcentral describes it as "bacterial SSU rRNA". It matches the Rfam family "Bacterial small subunit ribosomal RNA". Lineage: Bacteria; Bacillati; Chloroflexota; Dehalococcoidia. The record is from RNAcentral.
AGAGUUUGAUCCUGGCUCAGGAUGAACGUUUGCGGUGUGCCUUAUGCAUGCAAGUCGUACGAGAUCAUGGUUUUCGGAUUAUGUUCUAGUGGCGGACGGCUGAGUAACACGCAAGUAACCUACCUGCAAGAGGGGAAUAACCUGCCGAAAGGCAGGCUAAUACCGCAUGAUAUAAACGGGUGAUGCCCGUUUAUUAAAGCCUUACGGCGCUUGCAGAUGGGCUUGUGGCCUAUCAGGUAGUUGGUGGGGUAAAGGCCUACCAAGCCGAUGACGGGUAGCUGGUCUGAGAGGAUGGUCAGCCAGAUGGGGAUUGAGAUACGGCCCCAACUCCUACGGGAGGCAGCAGCAAGGAAUAUUGGGCAAUGGGCGAAAGCCUGACCUAGCGACACCGCGUGAGGGAUGACGGCCUUCGGGUUGUAAACCUCUUUUCUCAAGGAAGAAGUUUGACGGUACUUGAGGAAUAAGCCUCGGCUAACUACGUGCCAGCAGCCGCGGUAAAACGUAGGAGGCGAACGUUAUCCGGAUUUACUGGGCGUAAAGCGGGUGUAGACGGUUUUUUAAGUCAGUUGUGAAAUCUCCUAACUCAAUUGGGAGACUGCAAUUGAUACUGGAGAACUUGAGGGCAUCAGAAGAAAGCAGAAUUCACGGUGUAGCGGUGAAAUGCGUAGAUAUCGUGAGGAAUACCAGUGGCGCAAGCGGCUUUCUAGGAUGCUCCUGACGUUGAGGCCCGAAAGUGUGGGGAGCGAAACGGAUUAGAUACCCGUGUAGUCCACACCCUAAACGUUGAAUACUAGGUAUAGGGGGUAUCGACCCUCUCUGUGCCGAAGCUAACGCUUUAAGUAUUCCGCCUGGGGACUACGGCCACAAGGCUAAAACUCAAAGGAAUUGACGGGGGCCCGCNNGGUGGAGCAUGUGGUUUAAUUCGAUGAUACGCGAGGAACCUUACCAAGACUUAAAUGGGAAUUGACAGGUUUAGAAAUAGAUCUUUCUUCGGACAAUUUUCAAGGUGCUGCAUGGUUGUCGUCAGCUCGUGCCGUGAGGUGUUAGGUUAAGUCCUGCAACGAGCGCAACCCUCGUCGCUAGUUAAUUUCUCUAGCGAUACUGCCCGUAUAACGCGGAGGAAGGUGGGGAUGACGUCAAGUCAGCAUGGCCCUUACAUCCUGGGCUACACACACGCUACAAUGGGUGAUACAACAGGUAGCAAAAGAGCAAUCUGGAGCCAAUCCAAAAAAUCAUCCUCAGUUCGGAUUGCAGGCUGCAACCGCCUGCAUGAAGUUGGAGUUGCUAGUAAACGCAGGUCAGCACACUGCGUUGAAUACGUUCUCGGGCCUUGUACACACCGCCCGUCACGUCAUGGAAGUCGGUAACACCUGAAGUCGAUAGGCUAACCCGCAAGGGAGGCAGUCGCCGAAGGUGGGACCGGUGACUGGGACGAAGUCGUAACAAGGUAGCCGUACGGGAACGUGCGGCUG